This is a long non-coding RNA of Equus caballus (horse), 5741 nucleotides long. NCBI's taxonomy places the organism in Eukaryota, Metazoa, Chordata, Mammalia, Perissodactyla, Equidae. The record is from Ensembl.
GGCGGGAGGAAUGGCAACAAAGCCAGUUGCUUGCAUUUGUCUUGAAAGAAUUAAUGACAUUUUUUCAUUCUUUUGGUGAAACCUAAAAAACAGCUGCAGCUCUUUAUCUGCAUAUAAGAAGGUGAAUCUCAAUAUGCCUCCUCCUCCCCACCCUCGCCUACCGGGACAUAUAUGGCCAGUGCAGCUACUCCAGCCAUUGAUUUAUUCUUAAAACUGUAUUGCUCCUACUUUACUGGAAUUUGCAGGUCUCUGCGUUGUGUAGGCAGAUCACAUUUCUCAUAAAGCCGACCCUAAAGGGGUUAAUAGCUUGUGGUUGAACUUUUGCAGCUGCUCAUUAAAAGUCAAUUUAAAAAAAAAAAGAAACACUGGCCAUUUUAAAGUAUGUGUGUCUGCAUUUUAUCCUGUCCUUCCAUGUGGUGCACGUGCAUGGAGAAGAGCAGAUGAGUAAGGAAUGGAGAGAGGAUUCAAGGGUUCUAGUGAAAUUCCCAAUGUUUUGUGUCGCAACAUCUAUAGUUACUGUAUCAUUCAUUCUCAUUGAUUGAGAAUCAUGAUAAGAAGCCCACUCUGAUUUGUUGAAAAAAUAGUAAUUGUACUAAUGGAGUUUUAUUCCUUCUGAGAAAGAUAGUUAUGAAUGAAUACUAAGAAAUAGAAAAAGGUGAUUUAAUUAAAAUAAAAUUCACAACCGGCAUAUUUAACAGGAUAUAUGUUAACUACAAAGGUCCCUUAACAAACAGUUUCUGGACCAAGAACUGGAAGACACACUGAAGAAACAAAGACCACUGGUUUAGGUGGCCUCCCCACACAAGGGUGGAAGAUCCUGAAUGUGAGAAAGUUGCAGGUCAACCCGUUGCCCACCGGGGCCCACCUCCACAGCUUGAUUUAUCUUGGAUUUUGAAAUCAGUGAGUUCUUAAUUGAGUUGAACUACAUACUUUUCCAGCAAAUACUACCUGAAUUUGUAACAUGGGUUGCUUCAGUCACCAACAUGGCAGGCCUUGCUGGGCGUUUGGUGUGUGACAAACCAAGACGGUCUGACGGUUAAGUCACCCAGCCCAGGGGCACUGUCCUGCCGCCCUUUGUAUUUCUCCUGCUCAAGGGCAUUCAGACCAAAUCUCCUGACUUGAGACUUUUUUUUUUCUUUUAAUUUUUCACUCAUUUAGUAAAAUAGUUUGUCUUGGAACUAAAAGCAUCAAUGGUUGAUUGAUAUUAACCAUGGCAUCUCUGAAUGGAUUAAAUUUAAUCCCUCCUUCAACUCCCUCCCUCCUUCCUCCCUCCCUCCCUCCCUCUUUUCUCCCUGGUCUUCCUCCCACACCAAACCCAAGGGGCUUUUGAAGGCUGUUCUAUGGCAAGACUGAGGAAGGUAUUUGGGGGCUGGACACGCAGUAGGGUGGGUGUGGCAGGAAAGAACUCGGGGCCAGGAGACUGCCAGGUGUUUUCUGGUCUCGUACAAAGGGGAUCGGGAAUGUUUUUUGGAGAAUCAUGGGAUGUGAUUGUCCCACUGUAAUGGGACAGUCUGGGACAGUGUCAGGACUUAAGUAUUUUAGGAUGUCAUGAAAGAAUCCUCUGGAGAAAAACAACGUGUAGGACCCCUUUCUGUCAAGCCACUUGCAGGUUACCGCUUUCAAAGCAAAGCCAGACUCCGGCCCUGCCCGGGGUGAAGUCUUUGUCUGCCUGCGCGCCGAUUGCUCCGGCUUCAGAUUGAUUUUUGGCCCCCGCUGCAGCAAGUUGGGGGCUGGCGAGGAGUGUGGAGGCGGCUGGGGGCGGAGUGCGGACUCGCAUGCACUGCACCAGGAGCCCACUGCUGCUUCGGGAUUUUUUUAACUUGAAAUUUCCAUAUGACAAAAAGACGUUUCUCCGCGAUCUCACGGAGCCAUUAACAUCUAUUACUAACGCCGACGGGGGCAUCACCACCACCUUCCUGGAACCAUCCUUGCAGACUUUGUGAUCCUGCCCAGGCACAGAAGCUCUCCUAGGAGGUGGUUCUUAUGCAUAUUCAUUUUGUCUAGUAACCGGCUGCCCGUCUUGCCUUUGCAGGCUGAUGUAUUGAUUUAUGUAUAAAAUGUGUUUUAUUUUAGUAAUUAGGCAAUCCUGAAUUCAUGGAGCCGUCUGCACUUCCCAGGCACGUUCCUUGCUAGGGAUGAAAGACAAAGGUUGUGGUGCCCCUUUCUCCCCUCCACCCCACUUCAUUUUCCACCUAGUGACCGCUGACUUUUGUUGUCUUAUGGAAAGCUAGUUAGGAAUGGCAUUUUUUCCCCCCAGAGGAAUCAGUAAAUUAAAUAUUAGUGUUUAUAAAGAAAGCACACAGUUAUUUUUUAAAGCCCAAUGUUUGACAAUAACUACUUCUGGGGUGUGUUGUAAAGAUUGAACAGUAUCGUGUGUCGGUUUAGUUUGGGGAUGAUUCUAGGAUUGAUGUUUCCUCUAUGAAGCGGUCACUGGCGUGUUCCCAUCAAGGUACAUGAAAAUAGAUGUUGCCUUUCAUUACAAAGGAUACUGCAGUGAAAAGGGAGACAUCACUGCUGCUGCAUUUUCUAUAUCCUUAUUUUAUUCUUCAGCUUUCGUUUUCAUCUUUCCAUGCUCCCACCCCUCUGCUCAUCCAUCCACAACCCCAUCAUUAAAAAAAAAAAAAGAAUUAUCUCCACAGACCCACUUGUGUUUUUCAGGAACUCUAUUAUGCCCAUAAACUUGACCUGGAUUGUGUUACUAAUUUGGUAGGUUAUUCUGGUAUACGGGAAAUCACAGCCUAUGGGUCGAUAAGGUCCACAUGAACCCCUCAGCCAAAUUAUCUAAAUUGUUUUUAAAAGAUAUUUUUAGGACAGUGAACACUUAGCAAACGUGUCUUUACAGAUCCCGAUAGACCUAUCUUUAGAUCCAGUACUUUAACAGCCUGUUCACCCCAACCAGUUCUAAUCAAUGUAAAAUGUGCUUCUAACAAAAGAUGGUUAUGUUGUUAAUGAUGAAAUCAUUAUGAAUUUCCUUUAUGGAAAUAACUGACCUAAAAACAAUAGAAAUUUCACCACAUAAAGUAUUACUCCGAUUUUAAACUCUAGAAAAAAAUAGGUAUUUCUUAAAUUUUAGGAGGAAGGAGCCGUGUAAGAAUGAAUAAAGUAUGAUAACAUUUGUUUUGGGUUUAAAUUUUCUGCACACUUACUGUGUAUUCUAUUUGAUAUGCCUCUUUUACUUUUUAAAAAUGAUCUAAAUUUUCAACAUGCUGUCAAUUUAUAUUAUAUAUAAAAUAGAUGAAUUUACUAUGUAUAUAUACAUAUGAUUUAAUCCAUGGGUAAAAACGACAGCCAUUAGGGUGAGAAUAAUGAAGUGUCUGUCCCUAUGAGAAAGGGCAAGAGAGAAACCCCCCCAGAUCAAUAACUGAUAAGUAGCCAGCAUAAAAAGGGGCCACAAAGCUUUUCUUUUGCUUCAGUUCUUAAACCAGCUUUUCCUGGUGGCAUCUUAUUCAUGUUGGAGUGAUUCAGUAAAAACAAGAAGACAGAACAUUUACUAGGCAAUAUGUUGUUUUUGUUUUGUAUAUUUACUACAAAAAUUUUUGAAAUGCCUUUAUUGUCUGCUGAAAAGUAAUCAUAGAAUCGAUAUUCUGAAGAUGGCAUCAAGAUAGAUUUUUAAGCGUAAUAGCAGACAGGAGUUGGGAUGUGAUUGUUAAGCUUAUGGGAUAGGAUCAGGCAUGCAGAUAUGGAGUGUGUGUGGUGUGUCUCUGUGCCUGUUUCAUAGGAGGCACGUUAGCGGUGUCUGUGAACCACAGCGCUGAUGUAUUGCACACGGAAUGAGGGUGGAAUGGCCUAACACAGCAAUAAGACUACAUUUAGCGUAGUAAGCAGUAUGGAGAGCUCUCUGAGGUCUGGAGGAGAGCGGAAACUUACCACAAAGAAUGUAAGGAAGGAAGGAGCUAAGUGAGCCGGUCCCAUUCCCCCUAAGCAAAGAGAUACUGUGCCUUGAAAUGUGGAUUUUUGAGUGAGCAGACAGUAACAGCUCCUCCCCCCCUUUAGUGGCACUGACUCUGUGUGGCCUCUUGUUUAUUGUGGGUGGAGUUGGCACUACAUCCCUGGGGAGGAUUAUGAUAUAGACAAUCUUUUACUAAUGGUCUGAAUUCUAUUGUGCUCCUAUGAAAUACACACAUACAGACGCACAUUUAUUAGAUAGUAACCUAUGCGAACAUGUGUGUGUUCCUAUAAAGAAUUCCUUUAUAUUCCUUUAUAAAACUCCGCUCCACACCUUUACCCUUCAGAUCACUAGUUGUGAUUUUUUUUUAACCUAGAAAGUGACCUUUUCUCUAUCAAAAACUGUUGAUCGCUAAAAAGGGGAUUUUUGUUUGUUUAGGCUUCUGUCCUAAGAAAGAAUAGCAAGUGGAAUAUUCCUCAGUCUCAGAAACAUUUGAAACAAACAUCCUAUUUGAUUGGUUUAAGGAUUCACUAAAAGUAUGCAUAUAUAUUUUGCUCGUUUUGAUGAUAAUUGAAAGGGAACUGUUUAAUAGAAAAGUCUGUACCUGGCCAACAUGAUACCGUGUCAUGGUCUGUUGUGGUUGAAUCUGGAAGCAGGGGAAAAGUCAUUCUACUUUGUAGAUACUGUUGAUCAUCUCGUUUAUCAAGGGUGAUUUGGGGAAUGAAAUUACUGAGGAUUGUUAGAGAUUAUUUGUGUAGAUAUUUACUGACAUACAAAUCUUUUCUUUCUAUUUUUAAAUGUAGCUCAAAGUAGGAUGGAAUUCUUUGAGUGGCUGUCAGUGUUGGCCUCCUGUGCACUGGAGACUAGGGCAUUCCAGUUACCCCACUAGGAUGUCUUGAACUUCCCUGAGAAAUUAGAUGGAAUGAAAAGACCUGCUCACACUAGUAGAGUUGGCCUCACUUGGAAGCCAGUAUUUGACUUCUAGACACCUUUUAGUCAAAGCUGUCUCUAGGCUCACUUUAAUAUUAUCAUUUUGGGGUCAGGAUGACUCCCCCCCCAAAUACGUCUCCUAUGUACUUGAAAAGGACUUGAUUUUGGUGUAGUUUUGCAGAACUCAGUUCCAGGGAGACAGUAAAAUACCUUCGUGGUUUCAUCUUUAUGUAAUUUGUGUAUUUUAAGCUCUUUAUUUCAGGUCAGUGGCCUAUUUUGCUAUUCUAGAUGAUUGACCAAUGUUAACAAAUUCAACUUAUCUUAGAAUAAAUUAAGGAUGACGCUGGGCAGCCCCAAAGGCCCUCAGUAACUGGUUUCUAAUAGAUUCAAAGAGAAAAGCUCUUGCCCUUUCUUCAAACUUUAUCCCAAAUGCAGUGCUCUACUGGCUGAUAAUCAAUGAUGGUCCCUGUGGGAUUUGAUUCACAAUGAAGUUUCAUUGUCUCUGCCCCAUAGACUUUCUCGGCAGCAGUCUCCAGGUGGCUGAGGGGUUAAACAGGCACGCACCUUCUGUGGGUCAAGGACAACACGAAAAUCAAAGUGUGCAAUAGCAUCAAGGUAUUGUUUAAUUCCUAGAUAGCUAUGGUUUUCGAAAUGAAGAGUAGUAAUAGUAGUCUCUUGAAAUAUCUAAAAAUGCAUAGCAAAUACUGGAUACUAGAUAUGGUUACACGGCCCAAAGAUGAACUUUUGUGCCAUAGUCUCACACACAUUUUAAAGCAUAACCUUCACACCAUUGUGGAACUGAGUGUCAUGUGCACCUGGUCCAAGUGCUAACUCGGGCUUGGCAGUUCACCAGGCUGCAUUUUGCUUAACCACAGAAUCCUUAAGACAGGGACCUGUCAAGGUGCAGACGGAGGCUUGUCACUGU